RNAcentral lists this ribosomal RNA (673 nucleotides) under uncultured archaeon. RNAcentral describes it as "bacterial SSU rRNA". It matches the Rfam family "Archaeal small subunit ribosomal RNA", at positions 787 to 1428 of the family's 1478-position model. The record is from RNAcentral.
UCGCGAUCGAAGUGUCGCGGGGAAGCCGUUAAGCUCGCCGCCUGGGGAGUACGGUCGCAAGGCUGAAUCGUGAGGAGAGAGAUCUUCUCGCGCAGUUCACUUAAAGGAAUUGGCGGGGGAGCACCACAAGGGGUGAAGCCUGCGGUUCAAUUGGAGUCAACGCCAGGAAACUUACCAGGAGCGACAGCAGGUUGAGGGUCAGGCUGAAGACUUUACCUGACGAGCUGAGAGGAGGUGCAUGGCCGUCGCCAGCUCGUGCCGUGAGGCGUCCUGUUAAGUCAGGCAACGAGCGAGACCCUUGCCGGUAAUUGCUAGCCGGGAUAGCAGUAUCUCGGAGGCUAGUUACCGGGACUGCCGCUGCUAAGGCGGAGGAAGGAGAGGGCCACGGCAGGUCAGUAUGCCCCGAAACUCCUGGGCCACACGCGGGCUGCAAUGGUAGGGACAGUGGGUCCCGACUUCGAAAGGAGAAGGCAAUCCUCAAACCCUACCCCAGUUGUGAUUGAGGGCUGAAACCCGCCCUCAUGAAUAUGGAAUCCCUAGUAACCGCGUGUCAUCACCGCGCGGUGAAUACGUCCCUGCUCCUUGCACACACCGCCCGUCGCUUCACCCGAGUUGGGUUUUGGCGAGGUCGGCUUUCAUUGGGCCGAUCGAACCUAAGUUCGGCAAGGGGGGA